Ostrea edulis (European flat oyster) is the source of this 2395-nucleotide long non-coding RNA. RefSeq lists it as uncharacterized. Lineage: Eukaryota; Metazoa; Mollusca; Bivalvia; Ostreida; Ostreidae. The record is from RefSeq and is a predicted model, not a curated record. The transcript is spliced from 2 exons.
GUACUAUGAUCAUAGGCUCAAGAUCAACUAUCAUUAUAUUAAACACUAUGAACUGAAACUUUGCUUGUCUCUCUGAUUUUGAUUAAUGAUUACAGAGUUUACAAGGGCUUUUAGGUUAUUUAGCCUCUGGAAAGUGGGGGUAUUGAAAUAUAUUUCUCGGCUGAUCACUAAUAAUCUCUUCUGCUUAUUCACCUCUGGUAUGCCCAGAGAUCCGUGUUUGCCAAACUUUUAAUGUUGCAUUCCUUAAAAGACUUAUGGCACAUGAGUUAUGUUCUCGGCACACUGAUUUUGACUACGAAUAACUCCGUUUACCUGAUCAAAAUAUAGAGCUCACGGCGGGUUUGACCGGUCGACAGGGGAGGCUUACUCCUCCUAGGCACCUGAUCCCACCUCCUAUUGAAUACAUACUAUAGUUCAUUCUUGAAGCAAGUGUACACCGGAUAAAGGUAUAAGUGUCAUAUUCAAAAGUAUUUUACUCGAUGUUAAAAAUCCAAGUUCUUCCAAAUCCCAAUCCUGCAAACGUUCUGGUCAUGCAAGUGAAUACCUUUCAUCUAAUAACCACUUGUCAGUGGCUUAAAGAAUCGAAAUGAAUGAAAAACAAAAUAGAACCUGUUGUACAAUCAGACUGGUAUCGAAAAAUGUACUUUGGAAUUUCCUCACGUGUUUCUAUAUUUAGAAACAACUGGUUUUGAUAUAUAGCAAUAAUUCGCAAUGAUGCAUAGCAGUAGUUAUGGAAGUUUGAUGCCUUAUAAAAUAAUUGCAAUACUUAAAAAAUAUUUUUUUUUAGCUAUAUCAUCAAAACAUACAUUAAAUUUAAAGAAUAUUAAUGUUUUGCUCUGAUUGCAUCUAUUUAUAACAAGGACAAAGCCCUAUUUAGGCUGAACUUGGGAAUUACAGAUAAAAUAUGCAGUUUGGUGCAGCAUUACAACUUAAAUGGAGAUCAAAAUUUUAUGUAAUGAUAUGAAUUAUAAAGAUCAAUUUAAGUUUUAACAUAUAUAUAAAAUUCACUGAUGACAUUUCAUAUCUAAUAUAUUAAGUAAGUAGUUGAAAUUAUGACCAUAGUGAGUUUAACCAAUAUCUUGUUUACUUGAUAUUUUUAUCUAAACAUAAUUUAUAAGGUUUUAUUUUAUUGGUAAUAAAUAAAUUUUACUGUAAAUGAAUAUUAUAAAGUCAAUGAAAAAAUGAAAAACAUAAAACUACUGACAUACCUUAAAUGAAAAAAAAAUAUUACAAGAUUAUGAGAAUGUUUGGAAGAGUUAUAUCCCGUAAUGCCGCUCUUUAUUCAAGUACGGGAAAACAUGGCGAGCAGACGCGACAUGCAUCAUAUAUUGCAUUAGAUGUGUCAUUUCAGCGGUUUUUCGAACACUGCGUUUAGUGAAUGCCAUAUAUUUCAAAUAUAUGAAUGUAGGACGGAUGUGUCUUCUCACUUGCGACGGUUACAAUGCUCUGAACAACUUCCUGGACAGUAUAGUAAAUAUUUGGACGUGCUGGGGGCAAUCCUUCCGAUGUUUAGAAUUGUAAUAUUUCCGUGGACAAUGGCAUAUUAAGACUAAGAAUGUCAAAAGCAUCGAUCGAAUUUUGGGUAACAAUGGAGGAGAAAUAAAGCUAGGUGCUGUCAUUCAGACCACAACACAGAAAGAUAAAUCACAAUGAGGGACAACCCCUACACUUUGUCAACACUGGUUGAGAUCGUGACGGACAAUGUACCUAUGGUUGGAUCAGGUCAUACAGGAUUUUCCAAGAGAAAAGGAACACAGAGGAGGUACUGUUUUGCUCAAUCAACAACAUGACUGAUCAAAAGUCUGCUUGUCGUUCUACAAGAAGCACAGAUAAUAGUACUCAACAACAUCAUCCUUGUGAAAAGGCAAAGACAACGAACAGUGUAUCAAUCUCAAAACUCUCAUAAGAAUCAUCAUGCAAGAAUGUUGAAAAAGUUCUGGCAAUUUGAAAUCAUUCUUACAAUUUAAGUUGAAGAUCAAGUAUGGACAGAACAGCUGAUAUAUGUGUCUCAAAAUAUGACAGUAUUUCUCAUGAUCUGCUGAUAUAAAUAGUCAUUUCAGGAAUUGAUGAAAAUGGACUCCACCAAGAACUAGCAGAAAAAAGAACUGAAUGAAUGGUCUGUCAAGAACUUGAAAAUGAAAAAGUCAUUUCCAACUUUCAUCAACCCAAAAUAUGAUAAAAUGUCAUACUUAUCUUUUGGUGUCUCUUUUGCUUAUGCUGUCUGUUCUCUCUCACCACCUUCCUAUUUUAGAAAAACUUAUUACAAGUAAUAAAGAUGAUUUCUUUACCACUUUCAUCAACUCCCUUUUGCAUACACGUAUCUCUAAAAGUUGUCACCUGUGUUUCAGAUCAUUGAUUUCAAGCAUAAUAUACAACAUCUAUAAAAUAAGUAAUA